GUCUGGCCUGCUCACUGAUUAUUUUAAAGAGCCGCGGUAUUUUGACCGUGCAAAGGUAGCAUAAUCAUUAGUCUCUUAAUUAGAGGCUGGAAUGAAUGGCUUGACGAGAAAUCAACUGUCUCUUAAUAAAUUUUAGAAUUUAACUUUUGAGUCAAAAGGCUUAAAUUUUUCUUUAGGACGAGAAGACCCUAUAGAGCUUGACAUUUUAUUUAUAUAUAAUUUUAAGAUGGUCUUUUUAUAUUUAAUGAUAAUGUUUUGUUGGGGUGACAUGAAGAAUUAAUAAACUCUUCAUUAUUAAAUCAUUAAUUUAUGUUUAUUUUGAUCCAUAAUUUAUGAUCAUAAGAUUAAGUUACCUUAGGGAUAACAGCGUAAUUGUUUUUGAGAGCUCAUAUCGACAAAGCAGAUUGCGACCUCGAUGUUGGAUUAAGAAAAGUUUUGGGUGCAGUAGCCCAGUAAUUAGGUCUGUUCGACCUUUAAAUUCUUACG
This 486-nucleotide ribosomal RNA is filed under the name Dociostaurus jagoi occidentalis. Its description in RNAcentral is "partial 16S ribosomal RNA". It matches the Rfam family "Archaeal large subunit ribosomal RNA", at positions 1944 to 2669 of the family's 2987-position model. Lineage: Eukaryota; Metazoa; Arthropoda; Insecta; Orthoptera; Acrididae. The record is from RNAcentral.